CAGUGACCCAUGUGUUUGCUUUUCAAAUAUGAAACCAUCGUGCAGCUGCAUUGCUCCCAGUCCCCUGUUUGGACUGGUCUGUUUCCCACCAUGAAUUGUGUAUGUUGUUUAUAUGUAUAAUCAGAGCUUCCCACACUGUGGUUCAUUCAUGAAACCACAUGAUGAUCCACUGAGUUCUUGCUUGUGGUGCAUGUAGAACAACUCUGGCUUUCCUUGUUUCCAGCUGUUAGUGUAGGUGUGUCACAGCUAACAGGAAAAGCCUGGGGUCCUGUAAAAGCAGCUGAAAACCAAGGAGCAUGGAGAUUUUAACUUCUUCAACCAGGGAUUGCUGCUGCACUGGCACCAAGGCUCAACAACAGGACCUGUUUGCUAGUAAGGUGAUUGCACCUCAUGACAAACUCUUGACAAUCAUACAAGUUUGUAGUCACCAUUGCUCAUCCCCGCUUGACAGUCCUUAUUGCUUUUUCAGAUCCUGCAGUGGGUUGUCCAGCCAUGGUGUAUUUUGAACUGAAGGAACCGGGCAUUUGCCUGGCUGCAUCUGUUUUGCAUGUUGGAGGCCACCAUGAAUUUGACUGCUCCUCCAUAAAGCACUUAGCAGCUUCCUGAGCGGUGG
RNAcentral lists this long non-coding RNA (613 nucleotides) under Anser brachyrhynchus (Pink-footed goose). RNAcentral describes it as "lncRNA (ENSABRG00000004817.1)". The record is from RNAcentral. Lineage: Eukaryota; Metazoa; Chordata; Aves; Anseriformes; Anatidae.